Molecule: ribosomal RNA, 673 nt
Filed under: uncultured Lachnospiraceae bacterium
Lineage: Bacteria; Bacillati; Bacillota; Clostridia; Lachnospirales; Lachnospiraceae
Description: bacterial SSU rRNA
Rfam family: Bacterial small subunit ribosomal RNA
Source: RNAcentral
CGUGCCUAACACAUGCAAGUCGAACGAAGCGAUUUGGAGGAAGUUUUCGGAUGGAAUCCAAAUUGACUGAGUGGCGGACGGGUGAGUAACGCGUGGGUAACCUGCCUCACACUGGGGGACAACAGCUGGAAACGGCUGCUAAUACCGCAUAAGCGCACAGCUUCGCAUGAAGCAGUGUGAAAAACUCCGGUGGUGUGAGAUGGACCCGCGUCUGAUUAGCUAGUUGGUAAGGUAACGGCUUACCAAGGCGACGAUCAGUAGCCGACCUGAGAGGGUGACCGGCCACAUUGGGACUGAGACACGGCCCAAACUCCUACGGGAGGCAGCAGUGGGGAAUAUUGCACAAUGGGGGAAACCCUGAUGCAGCGACGCCGCGUGAGUGAAGAAGUAUUUCGGUAUGUAAAGCUCUAUCAGCAGGGAAGAAAAUGACGGUACCUGACUAAGAAGCCCCGGCUAACUACGUGCCAGCAGCCGCGGUAAUACGUAGGGGGCAAGCGUUAUCCGGAUUUACUGGGUGUAAAGGGAGCGUAGACGGCGAAGCAAGUCUGAAGUGAAAGCCCGGGGCUCAACCGCGGGACUGCUUUGGAAACUGUUUUGCUAGAGUGCUGGAGAGGUAAGUGGAAUUCCUAGUGUAGCGGUGAAAUGCGUAGAUAUUAGGAGGAACACCAGUGGC